AUGAGAAUUAGCUUGGAGAUUUUUGAUAUAAAAAUUAUAUAUGGAAGCUAUAAAUCGAAUUCUUAUAUAGAAACGCUAUCCAAUAUCAUGCCCACAAUUUUAUCUGGUUCAUUGGUCUCGUAGAAUUAACAAAUGAUGUAUUAGUGAAAACUCCUGCAAAUAUAAUAAGAUACAAGGUUCAUAUCCAUUUAUAAGAUACAAGGACCCAAAUGUUU
This 215-nucleotide long non-coding RNA is filed under the name Jatropha curcas. RNAcentral's name for it is "long non-coding RNA (JCUR_LNC003463)". Lineage: Eukaryota; Viridiplantae; Streptophyta; Magnoliopsida; Malpighiales; Euphorbiaceae. The record is from RNAcentral.